Molecule: long non-coding RNA, 3128 nt
Filed under: Solanum tuberosum (potato)
Lineage: Eukaryota; Viridiplantae; Streptophyta; Magnoliopsida; Solanales; Solanaceae
Description: long non-coding RNA (STUB_LNC003712)
Source: RNAcentral
UAAGGUACAAAACAUGUCGAAUGAAUACAACGUAAAGUACUUUUAAAAUAAAGUAAAAGAAAUUUUGUUAUGUCCAUCCUUCUUGGUUCCUUUUGGUGAUAUGCCACUUCUUGUACCCAAACAUCAAGUCUUCGUACCUGUCAUGGAAAGUUUAGUCAUACCACCCCCUAAAGUUUAAUUAAUUAGAACAAAUGGUUCAUAUUUAGGCAUAAAUAUUUCUCAAAUAUGCACAUAAAUAAUGAUAGGUCGUUACUUGGGGUCGAAAACCCACUUGGACAUUUAAGGUAAAGUCGACUAAUGAACUUAAUACACCAAGGGUAUCAAGCCUCUUAGGUCAUGAAAUGAAGUAUGUUCCUUAUAAAGUGUGUUGGUUUAGCUCUACUCUAAGUAACCUAGGAGUGAGUUUACUACACAAGGUUCUCGAAUUAACUACUCGAGCGAGAAGGCUAUGCGGUCACACAGAAAAAGAUUCAAACAUCCCGCGUAUAUGUCAACUCUCCUAAAUUUUGGAUUUUGAAAAAGAAUUGUGGGUGCGUGCGCAAAACACACCUCGCGUGUACGUGUGAUAGCGUAAAUUUCCAAGAAGUGAAGAAAUAUGAACGAAAUGACAGUUAAGAAAAACAAUAACACAUAAACCAUUUAUAACAAACAAACAAUGUAUAACAAGAAAAAAAUAUUUAGUAAACAAAUAAUUGCCAGCAUAUUAAAUUAAUUUAUGUCAAACUAACAAUUGAGUACUAUGUAAAAACAAGUUUAUGACAUGUAAAGUAAUUAAAAUAAGCACAUAAAGCCUAAUUAAACUAAGUCCGCUAUGGUUAGAACCUAAAAAGUCUCCAGUGAAAUCGUCAAGUUGUUAUACCCCAUUUUAAUCAGGUAAAAUAGUGUACAACAUUUUGGUGAUUUCCAAAUUAAUAACUAACUUAAGAAGUCGCCACCUAAUUAUUUAUUGUGAAUUAGGAUAUCUAAAAUGAUUAAAGUCUUUGUCUAAAGUUAACUCCAUUUAAGGUCUACUAAACAUAAGAUUCUAGGUAAGGGUUCACCUAAUUUAAAGGGAAGGGGUUAGGCAUCCUUUAAAAUCCAUUAAAAAUGAUUAACCAACCGAACUUGAUUAAUUGAUUAGGCUAAGUGCCAAAAUAAAAUAUUAGCAUAUUAAAAAGAGUUUGGAUAAAAAAUAAAAGUAUAAACUUUAUGUCUAAAAAUAGCUUACAUGGAUAAAUUUAAGUUUAAAUAAAUUAUUCCUUAUUUUGUCAAAACCAUGGAAACAAAGUUACUACCAAGAAACUUUUAAAUAAAAGUGAUCAAAAUAAAAUCAUUUAUGACUUAAAAUCACAAAUCAAAAACUCCAUUUUAGACGGAUUGAUAUUGAAAAAACUUUGAGACUAAUAAUUUGAUUUUAAAAGUGGUGUACGAUAUUAAUGAAAUAUGUUAUAGACUCAAAAAGGUAGUUUUUGGGGUCCAAGAUAGUCUAGUUAUUUAUAUUUAAAAGAAAAGUAAAUAGAGCCUCCAAAAGGCUUUACUAAAAGAGAAAAAAGAAGGUUUUUGUAAAGAAAAAUAGUAUUGCAAAUCAAUCCCCAAAAAAAAUCUGAUUUAAUCCAUUAAAUAAAAUAAAGGUUAGCUGAUUUUUAUCCCAAAUCAAAGAACUUGCCAAAUUAUCCAAAUACAGUCAUUAAAUCUAGGAGUAAAAAAGGGUUAUAAACAUGAAUAAGAUACUAACUAGAGAUAAAUUACUUAAGUCAUUCAUGCAGAUUUGUGCAAAUUCUAGUAACAUAACAGCAAACCAAACAAAUAAAUAAGCAUAAUGGUAAGUAAUGUACUAGAAAACUAAUUAACUAUAAUGUCUCGUUUUAUCCGGAUACGUCUCUAGAAAUAGGGAAUAAGUAAAGCGAACAGGUGUAGUGUAAAAGAAAUAUAUAUGAUCAAUUCCAUGUGAGGGAUAUGCAAGCUCCAUGUUGUAGUGGUGUCGUUGAGUUUCAAAAGGAGACUCGCCGGCUCCGAUUUUAUGCCAAAUAAACAUGAGAAAAGAGUUACAUGAGGAAAUUUGAUUCUUGGUACUAUAUAUAAAAAGAGAAUAGUUAGUUGAAAGUCAUAUUAGUCAUAACUGGGAACUCGUUACAUACCAAACUAGAUGUUCCACAUACUUGGCCAAACUAAAUAUACACAAAACAGCCCUCACAAAUGUAUCUCUAAAGAUUAAUAUAACAGAGUGGGUAAAAUUAUCCUUUCACGAUUAUUAUAUGAAAUCACAGUUUCAGAUCCUUAGUUGAGCGUAACUACAAUUUCUCUACAUACUAGCAUAUCUAAAUCCAAACCAAAGUAGUCAAUUUAUCACACAAAAUUAGUAGGGUCCUUUUAUUUUAUUUUAAAAAAGAUAGCAUAACAUAUAGUUCUACAUGACAACUCCAUUUAUAUGAUUGAAAUCAGACUUUUCACAACUAAAAAGAAAUUAUUAUAUAAUAGCAACUGUAAUAUAAUUACGGACAAAGAAAUGCGUAACUCUUGUUUUUUUCUAACACGACUGCAAAUGUUUAACUAAAUAGAAGAAUCAGAUUUUACCUUUUGUAGUGUAGUGAACUAGGACGUCGGCGUAGAAUCUACUCUCUUGUUAUGAUCAGAUUCACCCCUCGAACCUAAUGAGUUCGAUAAAAGCAAACAGAAAAUACAAGAAUUUUGGCAUGGAUGGUGAUAGCUAAACGUUAUAAAUAACUUCCACCAUGUAUGAUGUUCUUAUGAUUAAGAAAAGUUUCUCCUUUGUUGAAGAUGAGGAAGUAGUUAUAGGAAAAGAAUGGUAAGACAAAUUUUUUAUUUUUUAAAUUCAAAUUUUACAGAGUAGGGAGGUCACGGGUAGAUCUUGGAGUCCCAAAAUGAGUCGUUUGAAGUUGCUAAAGUGAUUUUCUACAUUAAAAAAAUCAUAUUUUCAAAAAGUCUUUUGGCUUCUUGUGUUGAUUGAUCAGUUGAAUAUGAAAGAGAGAAUUUCAAAGCACUACAAUUUUGCACAAAAAUGGAAGAACAUAGUCCUGCUUUUACCGAAAGCAUUUUGGAAAUUUUCUGAAAUCGAAUAGAGAGAAAUUGAAAGGGAGUGGCUGAUCUUUUUUAGGGGAUUAGGUUAGGGAGGUUUUCUGAUAUAUUUC